GCCAUGAUAUUUGCGAUCUUUUACUUAAGCCAAGACAACCAUGCUCUCAUAAUAGAUUGUCCUAGGUUUAGCUACGUGAAUCCUGAUUCAUAGGGCUCACAAGAACCUUCUCAACCAAACGACCUUCUACAUUGCUAACGACAAGGCAAUACAUUCAACCCCAUGGUGGAUAAGAUAAUGCUAUUUCUUGUUGAUCUAAGAGAUAGUCCUGCCACCAGGCA
This 221-nucleotide long non-coding RNA is filed under the name Elaeis guineensis (African oil palm). RNAcentral describes it as "long non-coding RNA (EGUI_LNC035765)". Lineage: Eukaryota; Viridiplantae; Streptophyta; Magnoliopsida; Arecales; Arecaceae. The record is from RNAcentral.